AAGUGAACAUUUUCCAUUUUACAUGGGGCAAAGUGUAGGUUUUUAAAUGACAGGGGAGGAAAGUGAAAAAUCGGGUUUUGACAUGAGGGUUUUAUGUAAUUUAGGCUUAAAAUUUUCGAUCAGAAAUAUUGAUCUUGUUGUAGAUAGUACAAAGAAUUUUGUAUCAAAAGUUAUUUGAUUCGAAUACUUUUACACCGUUAAACUUGAAAACGGCAGAUAUCAACAUUAAAAAUUAUUGAUUUUGAAUCAUUUCGAUUGUUAGGUAAAUGAUAUCGAAAAAUCGCAAAAAUUAUUUUCUAUAAACUUCAAAUACACUAGAUCAAGUCUAACAGAGCUGAUUGUCGAUUCGAAAAUUCCAUCAUCGAAAACGGCUCAGGAGCCUCCGUGACCUUGAGAGCACAGCAGUCCUGCUCUCUCUCUCUCUCUCUCUCUCUCUCUCUCUCUCUCUCUCUCCGGCUACUAUGCUAUUAAUAGCACGAAGCACAUGGUGCUACCAAGUUUUCUGCCGUUAGAUCUACUCUUUUAAUCAUUUUCACCCGUUAGAUCAUACUAUUCAACCAACCACCCACUUAACCCUAGGGGGCCCAUAUCAUUCUAACCGCACAUCUCUUAAUCCAAUGGCCAACAAUUUAGUAGCACCAAUGACUUGGUGCUAUUAAUAGUAUAUUAGCUUAGUUCUAUAUAUAUAUAAAGAGAGAGAGAGAGAGAGUCCAGCUACUAUACUUUUAUGAGUAUUGACUCCCUUAUACUCAUAAGUUUUCGGCCCUUAGAUUUAUUCCAUUAAUCAUUUUCAUCUGUUAGAUCAUACUAUUUAACCAACUACCCACUCAACCCUAGGGGUUCACUAUCAUUUUAAGUGCGGACGACCAUCAUCCUAACCACAUAUUCCAUCAAUCAACGGUUAAAAAUUUAUGAGUAUAAGGGAGUCUAGAGUAGGGCUAGAAUACUUGUAAAAGUAUCAUGGGGGUGAUACUUGUGUGUUUUUAGCCCUUGGAUGGAGAGAUGUGAGGUUGAGAUGAUGGUGGUAGAUGGUGGUAGGUGGUGGUAGGUGGAAUAGUGUUUAAUCCAAUGGCUAUUAAUAAUCAAAAAGUAGAUCCAAUGGCUUAAAACCUAAUAGCACCAUGAUGGUGAUACUUGUAAAAGUAUCAUAGCUCAACUCAGGGAGUCUAUACUCAUAAGAGUAUAGUAGCCCCAGCCUAUAUAUAUAUAUAUAUAUAUAUAUAUAUAUAUAU
RNAcentral lists this long non-coding RNA (1232 nucleotides) under Ananas comosus (pineapple). Its description in RNAcentral is "long non-coding RNA (ACOM_LNC044626)". The record is from RNAcentral. Lineage: Eukaryota; Viridiplantae; Streptophyta; Magnoliopsida; Poales; Bromeliaceae.